RNAcentral lists this ribosomal RNA (433 nucleotides) under uncultured bacterium. Its description in RNAcentral is "partial 16S ribosomal RNA". It matches the Rfam family "Bacterial small subunit ribosomal RNA", at positions 29 to 507 of the family's 1533-position model. The record is from RNAcentral.
AACGAACGCUGGCGGCAUGCCUAACACAUGCAAGUCGAAUGAACCCUUCGGGGUUAGUGGCGCACGGGUGCGUAACGCGUGGGAAUCUGCCCUUUGCUUCGGAAUAACUCAGGGAAACUUGUGCUAAUACCGGAUGAUGUCUUCGGACCAAAGAUUUAUCGGCAAGGGAUGAGCCCGCGUAGGAUUAGGUAGUUGGUGGGGUAAAGGCCUACCAAGCCGACGAUCCUUAGCUGGUCUGAGAGGAUGAUCAGCCACACUGGGACUGAGACACGGCCCAGACUCCUACGGGAGGCAGCAGUGGGGAAUAUUGGACAAUGGGCGCAAGCCUGAUCCAGCAAUGCCGCGUGAGUGAUGAAGGCCCUCGGGUCGUAAAGCUCUUUUACCAGGGAUGAUAAUGACAGUACCUGGAGAAUAAGCUCCGGCUAACUCCGUG